Molossus molossus (Pallas's mastiff bat) is the source of this 288-nucleotide long non-coding RNA. RefSeq lists it as uncharacterized. The record is from RefSeq and is a predicted model, not a curated record. The transcript has 4 exons. NCBI's taxonomy places the organism in Eukaryota, Metazoa, Chordata, Mammalia, Chiroptera, Molossidae.
UAAUUUUGAAAAUAAAAACAAGAAUUCCUGGAACUUGGAGAAACAUAUUUUGCACAAAAUGGAGGCAAUGGAUGGAAUGUCUUGCAAAUGAAGUUGACUUCAUAUUAGAAUUACCUGCAAACUGCAUAAAUGCCUGAUAAAUAAGCAAGAAAAUUAUCUCAAAGUGCAUGAAUUUGAAUGGCACGAAUAGGAGAUGCCAAGUAUCACAUUUUCUUGGUGAAGGAAAUUGAGCCAUAGGGAAGCUAUAUAUUUUGCCUGAACUUGAACAGCAGUCUCAUGCACACUGGC